UUUCACUUAUAGUCACUGUGGAAUUCGGCCUCCAAGAUCACAUUUAUGCAGACCAAAAGAGCUACAUGAAGGGAUUUGGCAGCAACGGAAAAUUGAUGUGUGCACUACAUGUUCUAGCUGACAUGAUGAGUUCAUUCUGGUGGUAAAAAGUAUCAUAUGGCAGAACCGGACUGCAUGUCAUGCAUUUUUCAAGGUCACGUGGUGUUUUCAUCUCUGGCAUCAGAACGUUUUUGUGCUUAAAGAUUUCUGCAGAUGAUAUAUGGUGAAUUUCAUUCCAGCAACAGAAACAUGCUACAUGCCAAUUGACAUCGUUGAUUUUUUACUCCAGUAGCAGAAACCCUGUUUAUGCAUCAUUUCACAUAGAGGGUUUUUCUUUCCUGCAGCUGGGUGUUUCUGUAGUUCGUGAUUCCUCCAGUUGAGAUUAUGAAUCGUUUCUCUACUCUAUAAUAAAUUUACUACAAGCCACAUACUUUCCUAGUUGACA
Long non-coding RNA from Limulus polyphemus (Atlantic horseshoe crab), 484 nucleotides. RefSeq lists it as uncharacterized. The record is from RefSeq and is a predicted model, not a curated record. Lineage: Eukaryota; Metazoa; Arthropoda; Merostomata; Xiphosura; Limulidae. The transcript has 3 exons.